UACCAUUCUGAAAAUCCUAAGGUCCUUAAGAAUUAUGCUGAAUGUACUUGGCCUGUGCUGUAUAAAUGGAACAACAAAGCUUGGAUGACAGCACUUCUGUUUAUAAUAUGGUUAACUGAGUAUUUGAAACCCACUGUUGAGACCUACUUCUUAGAAAAAAAGAUUGCUUUCAAAAUAUUACUGUUUAUUGACAAUACACCUUGUCACCCAAGAGCUCUGAUAAAGAUGUACAAGAUUCAUGUUAUUUUCAUGUCUGUAUAAUUCAGUAACCAUUCUGCAGCCAUGGAUUAAAGAGGAAUUUUGACUUUUAAGUAUUAUUAUUUAAGAAAUAAAUGUUUAAGGCUAUAGCUGCCAUAGAUAAUGAUUCCUCUGAUGGAUCUGGGGAAAGGAAAUCUAAAGACUUCUGAAAAAGACUCACCAUUCUAGAUUCCAAUAAGAACAUCUGUGAUUCAUGGAAGGAGGUCAAAAUAUCAACAUUAAAAGGAGUUUGGAAGAAGUUGAUUCCAACCUUCAUGGAUGACUUUGAGUGAUUCAAGACUUCAGAGGAGGAAUAACUGAAGCUAUGGUGGAAACAGCGUGAGAAUUAAAGUGGAGCCUGAAGAUGAGACUCAAUUGCUAUAAUCUCCUAAUAAAACUUGAAUGGAUGAGGAAUUAUUUCCUAUGAGUGAGCAAAGAAAAUGGUUUCUUGAGAUGAAAUGUACUCCUGGUAAGGAUGCUGUGAACAUUGGUGAAAUAAUAACAAAGGGUUUAGAAUAUAAUGCUUAAAUGUAACCGAGAAAGCAGUGGCAGAAUUUGAGGGGAUCAACUCCAGUCUUAAAAAAACUUCUACUGUAAGUAAAAUGCUAUCAAACUGCAUCACAUGUUACAGAUAAAUUUUUCAUGAAAGGAAGAGUCAAUGAAUGUGGCAAACUUCAUUGUUCUCUUAUUUUAGGGAAUUGCCACAGCCAUCCCAACCUUCAGCAACCAUCACCCUGAUUUGUCAUUCAGCCAUUAACAUUAAGGCAAGACUGCAAGGAAGACAAUCACCUCCAAAGGUCACAUGGUUUCUAAAGAAAAACUACAACUAGUUAAGUCCCAAGUUAAAUAUCUGGGUCAUCUGAUUUCAGAAACAGAGCUGCAUUUGGAUCCUGAACAACUACAAGGUGUUCUACAAUUCCGUAAGCCCAAAGUAAAAUAACAACUUUGAAGGCUUUUUGGAUUCACUGGGUGGGAUACUGCCAUUAACUGGAUACCAAACUUCUCUUUGACUGUCUGAUCCCUGCAUGUCCUACUUAAAACCUCUCGACCUGAUACCAUUAUAUGGAAAAAAUCUGAAGAUACUGGUUUUUUAAACUUAAAUGAAGGGCUUUUAAAUACCCCUGCCCUAGACACCCUAAUUAUCAACUUUGUUUUCCUUUUUGUUUAUGAAUAGAAAGGAAAUGCCUUGGACAUCCUAACCCAGAAACAUGAAUUUCAGCACCACCCCCUUGGAGAUUACAGCCGGCAACUACAGCCAGUAGUAGCUUGAGAAUUACUCUCUUGUUUGCAAGCAAUUCCAGCUACCACCCUAUUAAUUAACUUCCACUAAAUAAAUUAUCAUGGAAUCUCCCUUAAGCAUUUUUGUUCCCCACACUACGGAAUCUCUUCUAAAUUCACAUCACACCCAGCAUUUCUCUGCCAGUCACCUUCUGUCUUAUGAACUGCUUUUACAAGCUUCUCCUCACACGACUCUUUUUCAAUGUAAUAAUCUCAACCCUGCUACCCUUUUGCCUCCUCCUUUUGGUGAGAGCCCCAACCGCUACCCCAUGACUAUUGGACACUUUCUGACUCUUCAGAAAGAUUUAGAAGAAACUCCACUAGAUAAUUCUGAACUAUUAUGGUUUACAGAUGAACGAUAUUUAAAAGAUGACAGUGGUGAAUACUAUACAGGUUAUGCAGUACUACUUCCUUUGAAGUCAUUGAAGAUGCUCCCUUACCUAUGGCUACUUCUGCCCAACAGACAGAACUUUUUGCUGUUGCUCAGCUUUGCCUCCUUGCUAAAAGAAAAUGUACAUAUAUAUAUAAAUAUAUGUAUAUAUAAAAUAAAUAUAUAAAAUAUGUUUUUUAUAUAUAAUAUAUAUACACACAUAAUAUAUAUAUACACACACAGACAGUAGAUAGGCUUUUGGGGUUGCUCAGGAUUGUGGAAUGCUCUGGAAAUAAAGGAGUUUCCUCACUUCCACUAGGGAUCAAAUUAAAAAUGGAUUCUAUGUACAGGACUUCCUGAAUACCAUCCAGGUCCCAGACGCCUGGGCUAUUACCAGAACUCCAGACAUUCCAGGUUAGAAUCUAUGGAAGCUAGAAGAAACAACUUUGUUAAUAAUGCUGUAAAGAAUGAUGCUAUUAAAGUUUGAUUUAAUCAAAUCUCUAUUGUGACCCCACUAAAAGAGCUCUCAAAAGAUGACUGAAAAAUAAUUACGAAAGACUCACAGAAUGGCCACCAGAAGCUGAAAAGGAAAGAUCAUUGCUGCUGGUUUGAUGACAAAAAAGAACUAUGGUUUGAACCUGAUAGUAAAUUAGUUUUCCCAAAUUUAGUAAUAUACUCAUUGUUAACCAAAGAACAUAAUUUGACUCACUAGGCAAUUAACAAAUUAAUUUCUUUUAAAAAAACAGUAUUGGUGGGGUGACAUUUAAAAAGCUGUGAAACAUGCCUGUUUGCCUUGCACCACCUGCCCUAAGUUUAAUCUAGGAAAACCCAUAUGUACCAAUCCUGGACAUUUCAGUUGACCUAAUGGGCCUUUCAAGGUUUGGCAAAUGGAUUUCACCCAACUACCUCUUCCCUCGGGCAUAUAUUUAUAUACACCAGUAAUGGUUUGCAUGUUCUCCCAUUGUGUAGAGGCUUUUUCCUGUAGAUAAGCCAAUGCUUCAGUUAUGGCCAAAAUUCCUCCGGAACAAAUUAUUCCACCCAGGGAACUCCUCUUGAACUACAAAGUGAUUGGAGAUCCUGUUUUCCUGGCCAUGUAAUAAAACAAGUGUGUUCAGUUUGGACAACUUCAUAGCAUUUCCAUUGUGCCUACUAUCCCCAAUCUUCUGGCCCAGUAGGAUGAACAAAUGGAACUCUACAAACCCAGUUGGAAAGAUUUAUGGAAACUCUACACCUUCCUUGGCCUAAAGUUCUUUCUUUGGUAUUGUUAAAUGUAAAGGCCACUUUUUGGGGGGGCUCAUAAACUUUCACCUUUUUAAACUGUCACAGGCCAUCCUAUGCACUUAGUUCCUUCUGCUUUUGACAAUCAAUGAAAGGAGACAUACUUCAAUAUUGUAAAGGCAUUAUUAAAGCAAUGAAUGGCAAUCAUACUUUGAUAGAACCUCUUUUCACAGCACAGUCUCAGGAAACAAAGACCUAAAAUACCAGAAUCUGCAGCCUGGCAACUUGGUCUCCUGGAAAAGACACCUACAUAAGAAUUCUCUCCAGCCUCACCGGAAGGCCCAUAACCAGUCCUUCUCACCAAUCUCUGUGCUGCCAAACUAAAGGGCAUUGACUCCUGGAUCCACAUCUCUCAUUUUAAAAGAUUUCUACUUCUCACUGAACCAGCACCCAAACAGGGAAUUUAAAUUCGCUUCAUCAAUGAGAUAAAGCAGAUUCUAUCUGUAGUGGACUGUGGACUAGAGGUCCUCAGAAUCUUGAAGGACAGAGGCCUCUCUCAGUCUUUGAGUGCCCUGAUUCAAUCUAAUGAUUGCCGCCCACUGCAGCUCGAUCCAGUCCACGUUUCCUGGUGAGUCAGAGGUCUGAGCUGAGUAGAGUGGUCCCCAGUUCUUAGGAACGGUUUAAUGGGCUUAAGAGGCUGUGAUACUGAGGAUCCAAUAUCUUGGGUAACACCAGUCCUCUGCUUUUCAUUCUUAAUUUCAUCACAAAAAUCAGGGUGAAACUCAAAAAGAUCUAGGAAUGACUGUUCUAGGGAAUGACUGUUCUAGGGAAACACGUUAGGUCCCAGUGGCUUUAGCUAUAGAGUCAACUGUAGAGCCAAUCAUUUAGGAUAGGUUUCUAACUAUUGUUUCUAAGUGAUUGGCUGAACAAUAUAUGACCCAGACAUAAAAUAUGCUGGGUAAAAUCUAUUGUCCAUUUUGUUUCUUUUGGGAAGUUCAUCCUAAGUACUCAAGUUAACUUCAGAAGAUCAAUGAUUCACACAUGGCCAACUGUGCCCUGGGGGGACACUUGGCAGUGUCUGGAGGAAGCUGUUUUUUGGUUGUCACAACUAGGGGGAGAUGUUACCGGUAUUUAGUGGGUAGAGGCUGAGAUGCUACUAAAUAACCUAUUAGGUUGGUGCAAAACUUAUUGCGGUUUUUACCAUUACAUUCAAUGGCAAAAUCACAAUUACUGUUGCACCAACAUAAUAUAAUACACAGGACAACCCAUAACAAUAAAUUUUCUAGCCCUAAAUGUUGUUAAUACCAACCUUAAAUAAGGUAGUCCAUCUGCAAUCAUGUGUUACACUCCCUCUCAGUCUUCUAUUUUCUCUCAUGUGUGCUGGGUAAGCUGGGUGUUUACAAUUAUUUCUACUACUUCCUAGUUAAGGUUUUCAUUUUUCUUUGUUAUUUGGAGAAACAGAUAAGUUUCAAAAUUGGCAUGAUAAUUUUUCUCUGGUACAGUUAGGUAAUUUAAAAGGACUAUUACCUAAGCAAGUGGGAGCAGGUUUUACUUAGCUGCUUCCCGACUCCUUUUAAAGUAAGUUUCUAAGUACUGCGAUUAAUGUUUACAAGGUGCUGCUCAGUUAUUUUUUAUUAUUAUUAUUUUUUAAAGAUUCAACACUGUGUAAGAUUUUUGCUGCUUUACGGGAGCUCACAAUCUAGUAUUGGAAUUGGGAAAAACAUUCAAAUUACUUUAGUACAAGGGAGCACCUCUCAUGUAUAAUAAGUUGCUGCUGGGACCCAGAAAGAUAAUACCCCCAAAUAUGCUGCUUUGUACUUCAAACUGAGAGCGUCUGGGCAGCAUUGCAUGUAGGAAAGGGCUUUCUCUGAAGUUGCUCCACCUGCCUUAAAGGCUGGGUCCUCCAGAAGCUCAACUGUUGUGAAUCCCUUUCCCAGAGAGCUCAUCAACCAGGAGGGAGGAUGACACAUGACAGGAAGAAAGAGCAGAGUUGACGCCACACCAGAGCCCAGACAGACUUUGUCCCAUGCUGUGGUUGGUUCUUUGGGCCCAUUCAUCUCCCCUAAAAAGUAUUUAUUCUUCCUCUACAAUUGCCUUCAUUUCCCACUUCCUUUUCCCCUAUGAAGAAGGCCUAUAAGCUUCGAAAUCUCAUUGGGUUAUUGGGUCCUCACCCUCCUGAGUUGCUCCCAUGCAUGUGAUGUAUUUAUAUGCCUUUUCUCCUGUUAAUCUGUCUGUUGUCUGUUUAUUUCUCAAAUACUGAACCCCCAUAGAGGAGAGAAUUCUCUUCCCUUAUGUCACCUACUCCUGGGGCGAAUGAACACUGCUGGACAAACAUAACUACUCUCAAGGGCCACUCCCAGCUUGCCAUUUUCCUCUGGUGGCAUCUCUAGGACCACAGACUUCUUCAGUGCUUUUAGAAGCUAACAGGCAACUGCCUGUGGUGAGGCUGCCAGCUUUAAGCAUUCAGCUUCCCCUGUGCAAAGACAGCGAGGAGAAAAACGCAGCUCAGCAAGGCUGAGAGGGCAUGAAAUUGUGUUAAGCAACAUUCAUGACAAUGACUGGAUUUGCUAUUUUAAAGUAAGUGACUAAAUGUUUUUUUUUUUUUUUUUUUUUUUUGAAAUUGUAAUUUUCCUGUGCUGUUAAGUGUAAAGGUGACCGCUCUGUGGUGGGCUCUCGGCAGUCUGUGCUCGACAGCUAAUCAGGUUGAUUCAUUUGGUGAGGUAGGCAGUAAGCUCAGUGAUAAAGCGGAAUUGAGUUCUUACCUCUCUGAGAUAUAACACCACACAUUUUUUUUUUCUUUCUGCUUUUUGAAGGAAAGAAAUAGUCAUGCAGACUUUUCAGAAGGACAUUGUGAAGACACAACGAGGUUUUAUAUGUGUAGCAGGGAACAUAAUCAUCCGUGGAACAAAACUGGCUCCCUUAUUGAGUUUGCUAGCAGCCUUUCAAUAAAUGAUUUAGGCAGCUAUCACUAAUGGGAGCUGGAGGUUUUGGUAGGGACCAUCCUGGGCUUAUUUUAGCUCAAUCUCAGGGCUUCUGAAGUGUAAAAUGCACAUUUACCUGCUGCUAAUUACAUCAGAGCUGACCAGAGGCAAGUUAGCAAUGGCUCAGUAUUACCCAAUUUCCCCACAGGAUGGCAUCCACCAGUUAAAAACAAAGUUUAUAGUAUUAGCAGAAUUCAUAAAAAUAGAGAUGGAUUAAAUUUUCUAUUAGACUUUGCAAUGUUUAGGGUUUAUUUUGAUACACACUCUAACUUGAUCAUAGUGAGCUAGGGCGGUGUGAGUGCUUGCCAGGAGCUGGCACAGAUGCAGAGAUGGAAUUUGCGGUAUGUACAAAGGGAGAAAAGGACUCAUGCUAAGAAUGGAGUUGCUACAAAUAAAGCUUAGCUUCUAAGAUCCCCCGAUCACCAGAGGGCCAUUUACGGAACUAAUUUUUUUCCUCCAUCAGAAGAUUAGCAAGUUUCAAGAGAUCAAAUCAGAACAAGCAGAGCCUCAUGCCAAAUUAAGGAAAAGCACAAGAAGAUUUUGGGUUCUGGUUUGAUGAAAACAGUGUUCUAAUAUUUCUAAUAUUUUAUAGCUGGAGAAUAAUAACAAGUACAGUGUUUUAGCUACAUGAACAUAGAAAUCACAUAGGCUAAUCCCGAAUGUUGCAAAAAAAGUUCCAAAGAGAAUGAGUAAUUUUUCCAAGCCAGGACCAGAACGAAAGCAGUAGUUGCUCCAUUAUUCCUAUUUAGGGAGGAGUUAGCCAGUGGGAAGGUGAAUGAAGAAGCUUGGUUUGUGUGCCUAGCAAAAAUAUUUUCAAAAUUAUGUUUAUGUUGCAGACCCAUAUAAAUAGCAAAGUUUUCUAAAGAUAAUUUAUUACUCUGAAAGAUGGAGAAAUGUUAAUUGUUCACAUUAAAGGAUGUUGUUAUUAUUAAAAACACUUCGGGCAGUUUAACAGGGUGGUAGAAAUUGGGUAGAGGCACUAAUACUCCCUCAGGCUGCUCUGGGAAUAGAAGGAUCUCAAUCUUCUGACCCUUCCUGAGAUCCUGCCCAACUGUGGGAUGUUUCCCUGCACCGCUUCCUGUCCCAUCCAGGGAAGAACUGCUGUGUUCUCUGGAGAUUAUCUCCCUUUGUCCACCUUUUGAGACUCUUUCUGUGAGCCUUCUGUCCUGUCCAUCAAAUCUUGGAGGCCUUUUAAUGGCUAAGCCUGUCAAGCACACUUCUGCAUGACCUUGGAAAGGACACUUAAGUACUCUUGGGGGAAUGAGUCCCUCAUUAGGGAAAGUAAAAUCACAGUUCGUUUUUUUCCACUACCAACUGCCAAUUCUUUUCAGUUACAGUGUCUGUGAGUUUCACUAUUGCGUGUGGACAAAUGCACCUCACUUUGUGUUCAUGUACGUUAGAGGCAUCUACUGUAAAGCUUCUAGAAGGCGAGGAUGCUGUUUGCUCACGUAGGUCUUGCAAGUGUAGGCAAUUUAUUUUUAAAAAUGCAAAACAAACAAACAGAAAGAAACUCCUAAUUAUAGCAUCUUGCAUGUGAAGAAUCCUUAGGCACUACUCCCAGUUGCAGACACAGCAGACUGCAUCUGGCUUAUUAAGGAAGACACUUCUGGGGGACUUGCUUAAAAUAGUGAUAACUACAACCCAUCCAUGGGAAUGCUGAUUUACGCUGGGCCUGAGAAUCUGCAUUUUAUCCUGUCCCUCCCUGAACUCGGUAAUUUUGAAAGGUGUAGGUCAACUGAAUCUUAAACCAAUCCAGGGACCCUCUGUGCAUCUGCAACCACAUUGACGGUGACAACAUUUAAAUUUACCUGUCCUAUUUCUUGAUUGGAAACUGUCAAAAUCUUUCUAUACAUGCAUGUCUGUCCUAUUUGUGUAUUUCAGUACUGGCCAAAGGGAUCUGUGAACAUAGUGUGUUUUCAAUCACUCUAGAGUCCAGUGUUGAAGAAUGUUGAAAAAUAUUAUUAUGUGUUGCCAAAGCACAGAAACCCCAAAUCUUUUCAGCUGCCAACAUUUGUGUAUUUUUAAAAGAGCAUUUCUACCCAUGUUUUGCAAGUGGUAUAUGUCACAUCCAAGCAGACCCUGGACAUGUCUUAGGUGUGAUUAUUGAUAAAGAGUGAAAUCUCCUCAGGCCAUGGUGGCAAUGCCUUCAUCUUCCAGAGCCCAGGAGUUCUUUGAUGACAUUCUGUUUGACAAAGAGGCAGGGGGAAAAAGCGUCCCAGUCUUUUUUCUUUUGCUUUUUUCUUUGAUAUGAUCAGUAUGUAAAACCCCAGGCUUGAAAAGGACUUUGACAUCUUUGUUAGUAAACAAACAGAGUGGUUAUAAUGCUUUUGACAAGAGGGUAGGGAGGACUGUGCUCUGGCAGGCUUUCUCCUUUUCUCCCGCUUCUCCUCCUCUAACUUGACAAGCGGAUUGCAGAGGCCAGUGAAAACACUCGUGUGUCUUUCAGGUUGAGAGCAUUUGUUAGGCAUCUGUGAGGGUUGCUUUCUUGCUGUUGGGUGUCAAGUCACGCAAUAUGAAAAGAGGGAGUCUUCGACUGCUCAGCCAUUCUUUCCCGUGAAAGGAGCACUGAUGAGCUAGCCAGUGGCUCAAUUAAAAACUGAAGGAAGCAUUCACCGUGCGGGACACCAGCUUACUUUACUGACUGUGGUGUUAUUAGUGAGACUGACAGGGGCAGCCGGGAGGGGCUGCAGUGGCUGAGAGGAAAGGGAGGCAGAGUUCUUGUUUCCUCUUGUUUUCUCACUGUUGCUGGCAAGUUGUUGAUCUUGAAAAUGAGCAACCUCCUCACAGCCUAUUUUCCAGACUUUGUUAAUAUUUAAAAUGAUUUUGAGAGAAAUGCACGAAAUGAAACAUGUCAUAAUAUGUAAAGUCAUACAGAUUUCACAACUUACCUCCAGCCUACGCAUUUUAGUUGUUCUAUUCAGGGUUUACUGCUCAAAACCCCCAGGUCCUUAAACUUCUGCAACUGUUGCCUUUGGUUACUUCUUGGUGUUCUCAGGAAGUACCUUACACUUGCUCGUUAACAGAUUCCAUCACAGCUGAACACCACGGCACCCACCUUUUCGGCAGAGCCUUUGCCUCCUUAGUGGGACAUCAGUGUCAGCCUCGUGUUCUGUCACUGCUUCCAGGCAUUGGCAUUGACUUACUCAUGGGUCUGUCCUAUCCAAAGUCAGGAGAAUGUCUUUUUCUCCUUAUUUUGAACCAUACUUUUGUGCUGGGGACACAGUGGGCAGUUUGGCCCAUGUUUCACAAAGCCCCUGUUGAAACCAGAUUUGUCAUCAUUUCCCUUGGGACGGAGGCUCCUGAUUCUUCCAAGACCCCCUUGGCUUUGCCCAAUGGGUCUUUCAGCCACAGCAGUUGAGACUUGACAGAAAAAAAUAUGAAAUUCCAGGCAAUGAAAACCCAAAUGAAAGGAGAACCAGAAUCUUCUCGUACAGGCAGAACUCAUUAUUAUGACUUGUCAAUGUUACAAAGACAUUAUUAAUAGUUGUCUUUGUAACAUUUGAGGUUUCAGGAUGGCAGAAGAGAACUGUAAAUCUUGUCCUCUCAACCUAGGUCUGUUAGCCACUGCCUUGUAGUUUUUGGCCUCCUGUCAAUUCAGACUUGAGAGAAGAGACCAGUGGUGACAAAUAUACAUUUCCUCAGUUCACAGGAAAUAGAUACAAGACUGUUUAAAGAACAUAGACAAUCGGUAGCUUCCAUGAGUCUGUUAGCUUUUGCUGCAUAGCAAGCCAGCCUGAAAUUAAUGUCUUAACUAAAAAAGUAUUUACUUAUGGUUUUUUUGCAGGUCAACAACUUGGGUUGGCUCAGCAGGGAGGUUCUUCUAAUCUUAGCUGGGUGCACACAGGUGUAUGUGAUCAGCUGCUGGGUUAUCUGGGGACUGACUCAUCUAGAAUAACUUCUGCUGCCGUGGCUCAUUUCUGCUCCAGGUGGUCUCUCAUGCCCCAGUGAGCUUACCAGUGUUUUGUUUGUUUGUUUGUUUUGUUUUUUUCUCCCAUGGUGUCUGGUUAGGAUUCUAAAAGAAACUGAGGAAGUACACAAGACUUCCUGAGGCCUAGGCCUGGAAUUGACACCUCAUUACUUCUGCUGCAUGCUAUCGGCCAAAGCAGAUCUGUAGUCUGGUACAAACACAUGAGGAGGAGAAACUGGUUCAAUUACUUUUAUUUUAUUAUUAUUAUUAAUUAUUAUUAUUUUUUGGUGCAGUCUUGCUCUGUUGGCC
Molecule: non-coding RNA, 10300 nt
Organism: Chlorocebus sabaeus (green monkey)
Lineage: Eukaryota; Metazoa; Chordata; Mammalia; Primates; Cercopithecidae
Source: RefSeq, a predicted model, not a curated record